RNAcentral lists this ribosomal RNA (455 nucleotides) under uncultured soil bacterium. Its description in RNAcentral is "bacterial SSU rRNA". It matches the Rfam family "Bacterial small subunit ribosomal RNA", at positions 947 to 1384 of the family's 1533-position model. The record is from RNAcentral.
GAAUUCGAUUAACGCGAAGAACCUUACCUGGGCUUGAACUACUCGUGGUAGGUCGCUGGAAACAGUGGCCGACCCGCAAGGGAGCGAGCAGAGGUGCUGCAUGGUUGUCGUCAGCUCGUGUCGUGAGAUGUUGGGUUAAGUCCCGCAACGAGCGCAACCCCUAUCUCAUGUUGCUAAUCCCGCAAGGGAUGCACUCUUGAGAAACUGCCUUCGAUAAGAAGGAGGAAGGUGGGGACGACGUCAAAUCCUCAUGGCCCUUAUGUCCAGGGCUACACACGUGCUACAAUGGCCGGUACAACGGGAAGCAAUACCGUAAGGUGGAGCCAAACCCUGAAAGCCGGCCCCAGUUCAGAUUGUGGGCUGCAACCCGCCCACAUGAAGGCGGAAUCGCUAGUAAUCGCGAAUCAGCAGGUCGCGGUGAAUACGUUCCCGGGCCUUGUCACACCGAAUCACUA